This is a long non-coding RNA of Cyprinus carpio carpio, 944 nucleotides long. Lineage: Eukaryota; Metazoa; Chordata; Actinopteri; Cypriniformes; Cyprinidae. The record is from Ensembl.
GAAUAUGCAUACAAUAUACAAAUACAUGCACAGUCAGGCAUGCGCUCAUAAAGAUGCUAAAAAUAAAUGUGAACUCGACAAUGUUUUAUAAAAAGGAGAGUGUAUUUUCCUUGUGGAUCCACAAUAUAUCCCAUAAGCUUGUUGUUAAAUGGGGUACAGAUAUUUCUAUGUCACAGAAGUUAAUGUGUUAAGCUGGGAAUGUUUGGCACGUUGUAUGUCUUACAUAAACAGACAUUCAUUUCCAGGUCAUUGUGAGGUCAGAGUGCAGUCUUUCACUCCCAAUGGAGGAAACAUGAUCAGUGAUGUUGGAUAUCUCAGCGCUGAACAACUGGAGAGACACAGAUGGCAGGCCUCACAACACUACAUAAUGAGAGUGUGUGGAAGGACACAGAUCCUGGAACCAAGUCUCAUGUCUGUCUGAAGCAUUACAGAGGCACCCAUACGAAGGAUGAUUGUGGGCCAGGGGUCGACGUUGAAUCAGAUUGGGAUGGAAUGCUCCUGAGAUCAGAGAACAGAGGACAGAGAAGGAGGGGCUGUACCAGGUCAAACUCCAUCAGUUAUUCCCAUCACUACCAUGCCCUUAACAUUUCUAUGUUUAACAAGGAUUUAGAGGAGGAUUCUGUCUGUCAAAGCACAAGAUCAGGACUGUGUUAUUUGCAAAUACAUAAGAGCUCCAUACUACUGCUAAUGAAUGAAGAAUGAAUAUUUGAAUUUGUGUGUGUGUGUGUGUGUGGGUGUGUGUGAUGUUAUAUUAGCAGUUAUACUAGUUCUGCUAUACUAGUUGUACUGUACUUUCCAUUUGUAAUACUGGAUCAAUAUCCAUUGUUUUCAAAGUUCUAAGGGGUCAUGUGACCCAUUAUUUUGGUGUAAGGACAUGUGAACUUGAUCUGGAGAAAGAAUAUACAAAUAAACAUCAUUAAUUGUGGAUGAAUGAUGCAUGUGGC